Molecule: long non-coding RNA, 216 nt
Organism: Sphaeramia orbicularis (orbiculate cardinalfish)
Lineage: Eukaryota; Metazoa; Chordata; Actinopteri; Kurtiformes; Apogonidae
Exons: 3
Source: RefSeq, a predicted model, not a curated record
CAGCUUCUCGUCGUCUCAGAGCCCCGCCCUCUAUCUCACUGUCGGAGACUUGGUGACAAAUCUGGUCAUCAGGGUGGUGGUCUUCGUCCCGGCUCUGCUCAUAUUUGAUCUUUGCCUCUUCUUCUUCUAUAAGGUCUCCGUGAAGCGGAUCCGAAUGAAGGCGGAGACAAACACGAUGAGAGUUGUGGAGGAAACAUCCCAUUUGUAGAGUCCCAG